GGGGCCUUUGUGCAUCUCUGCUCCUACAGCUCAGGGCUGGGAGUGGCUUACACUGGGGGAAUAUGUGAUCCCUGAGCCUGGGUAGUGGCUACUUUGUCAGGGUGCUUUGUGCCACCUUCGUCCCCUUCCAGAGCUUUCUGUCUGUGUGGAUGAGUAGGGUAGGAACUGGCAUGAAAGGUGGAAGAGCAGGUGGUGGCAGCC
RNAcentral lists this long non-coding RNA (201 nucleotides) under Homo sapiens (human). RNAcentral describes it as "HSALNT0002284". Lineage: Eukaryota; Metazoa; Chordata; Mammalia; Primates; Hominidae. The record is from RNAcentral.